GACGAACCGUCCUAACGUUGUUCGGAAUCACUGGGCUUAAAGGGCGCGUAGGCGGCUUGCCAAGUCAGGGGUGAAAUCCUGCAGCUUAACUGUAGAAGGGCCUUUGAUACUGGCGAGCUCGAGGGAGGUAGGGGUAUGUGGAACUUCCGGUGGAGCGGUGAAAUGCGUUGAUAUCGGAAGGAACGCCGGUGGCGAAAGCGACGUACUGGACCUCUUCUGACGCUGAGGCGCGAAGGUCAGGGGAGCAAACGGG
This 253-nucleotide ribosomal RNA is filed under the name uncultured bacterium. RNAcentral describes it as "partial 16S ribosomal RNA". It matches the Rfam family "Bacterial small subunit ribosomal RNA", at positions 524 to 776 of the family's 1533-position model. The record is from RNAcentral.